AGCGAACGCUGGCGGCAGGCCUAACACAUGCAAGUCGAACGAACCUUUCGGGGUUAGUGGCGGACGGGUGAGUAACACGUGGGAACGUGCCUUUAGGUUCGGAAUAACUCAGGGAAACUUGUGCUAAUACCGAAUGUGCCCUUCGGGGGAAAGAUUUAUCCCCUUUAGAGCGGCCCGCGUCUGAUUAGCUAGUUGGUUGAGGUAAUGGCUCACCAAGGCGACGAUCAGUAGCUGGUCUGAGAGGAUGAUCAGCCACAUUGGGACUGAGACACGGCCCAAACUCCUACGGGAGGCAGCAGUGGGGAAUCUUGCGCAAUGGGCGAAAGCCUGACGCAGCCAUGCCGCGUGAAUGAUGAAGGUCUUAGGAUUGUAAAAUUCUUUCACCGGGGACGAUAAUGACGGUACCCGGAGAAGAAGCCCCGGCUAACUUCGU
This 433-nucleotide ribosomal RNA is filed under the name uncultured bacterium. Its description in RNAcentral is "partial 16S ribosomal RNA". It matches the Rfam family "Bacterial small subunit ribosomal RNA", at positions 29 to 506 of the family's 1533-position model. The record is from RNAcentral.